GAUGAACGCUGGCGGCGUGCCUAAUACAUGCAAGUCGAGCGAACAGACGAGGAGCUUGCUCCUCUGACGUUAGCGGCGGACGGGUGAGUAACACGUGGAUAACCUACCUAUAAGACUGGGAUAACUUCGGGAAACCGGAGCUAAUACCGGGUAAUAUAUUGAACCGCAUGGUUCAAUAGUGAAAGACGGUUUUGCUGUCACUUAUAGAUGGAUCCGCGCCGCAUUAGCUAGUUGGUAAGGUAACGGCUUACCAAGGCAACGAUGCGUAGCCGACCUGAGAGGGUGAUCGGCCACACUGGAACUGAGACACGGUCCAGACUCCUACGGGAGGCAGCAGUAGGGAAUCUUCCGCAAUGGGCGAAAGCCUGACGGAGCAACGCCGCGUGAGUGGUGAAGGUCUUCGGAUCGUAAAACUCUGUUAUUAGGGAAGAACAAAUGUGUAAGUAACUAUGCACGUCUUGACGGUACCUAAUCAGAAAGCCACGGCUAACUACGUG
This 497-nucleotide ribosomal RNA is filed under the name uncultured bacterium. Its description in RNAcentral is "partial 16S ribosomal RNA". It matches the Rfam family "Bacterial small subunit ribosomal RNA", at positions 28 to 507 of the family's 1533-position model. The record is from RNAcentral.